Molecule: ribosomal RNA, 217 nt
Filed under: uncultured bacterium
Lineage: Bacteria
Description: partial 16S ribosomal RNA
Rfam family: Bacterial small subunit ribosomal RNA
Source: RNAcentral
AGUCUCAGUUCGGAUCGCAGGCUGCAACUCGCCUGCGUGAAGUUGGAAUUGCUAGUAAUCGCGGAUCAGCAUGCCGCGGUGAAUACGUUCCCGGGCCUUGUACACACCGCCCGUCACACCAUGGGAGUCGGAAAUGCCCGAAGCCGGUGACCCAACCUUAGGGAGGGAGCUGUCGAAGGUGGAGCCGGUAACCGGGGUGAAGUCGUAACAAGGUAGC